Molecule: long non-coding RNA, 598 nt
Organism: Gallus gallus (chicken)
Lineage: Eukaryota; Metazoa; Chordata; Aves; Galliformes; Phasianidae
Source: Ensembl
UCCUUUUAGAAAAGUUUGCCAAGCCAAGAAGAGUAGUUUAAUAUUUACCUAAGAACCAAACCUGUCAAACCAGAUUGUUCCAUACGAGUAGCUGCGGUAAUAAGCACCAGUAGCUAAAUGUGUAAGAACAUCAAACUUCAAAUUUCAAAGCUUCUUGAAGAAGAGAGUUCUAGAUUUCUCCAGAAGAAUAGGAAUGUGUUCUGGGAAGAAACAACAGAAAAGCUGGGAGUUGAAUAUCGAACUUCAUGUCUUUAUCCUUGCUGUGAAGACAGACCUUCCACAUUGAGUGAAAAUGCCUGCGUAAGUAGCAGUGCUUUUGCUGUAGUGUACUUUUAUCUAGUUUGUGCCUCAUCGUGGUUGCCUUUCCCUUCUCCUCAUUGUUGGUAUUUCUCCAAGGAGCACAGGCAGCACCUGGGUUCUGUGCAUGCCAGCACCUUUGCAUGCAGUUAUGCAUGCACAGUUCCACUGAGAGCAAGAGGAUUAGCUUUUGCUUUGCAAGAAUCUGAAUGGAAAUGAAGUUGCAGAACAGGCUCCCUGCACCCCAUAUUUUCAACAGACCAGAACUUCAGUUCUGCUUGUGGAGAAAAAUCAAAAGGCC